CAAACUGGAGAUGGCGACCGGCGCACGGGUGAGUAACACUAUCCAACCUGCCGAUAACUCGGGGAUAGCCUUUCGAAAGAAAGAUUAAUGCCCGAUGGCAUAAUAGAACCGCAUGGUUUGAUUAUUAAAGAAUUUCGGUUAUCGAUGGGGAUGCGUUCCAUUAGGCAGUUGGUGGGGUAACGGCCCACCAAACCUUCGAUGGAUAGGGGUUCUGAGAGGAAGGUCCCCCCACAUUGGAACUGAGACACGGUCCAAACUCCUACGGGAGGCAGCAUG
Molecule: ribosomal RNA, 276 nt
Filed under: uncultured bacterium
Lineage: Bacteria
Description: partial 16S ribosomal RNA
Rfam family: Bacterial small subunit ribosomal RNA
Source: RNAcentral